UUAGAUGAUAGAGACUAAUACGGGUUUCAUUUUGAGGACCUAGAAGAACACCACAGGCAAACCAUAUACCAUUUUCCUGAAUAGUUGCUUUGGGUGAGAACUACUAAUUCCUUCUCAUCAGGCAUUGGUAGGUGCCAUUUCCAGGAUGGAGCCCAAUGCAUGGCUCGAACUCACGCCGCUGAUCUGCUGAGCUGAAGUCAAGGGUCGGAUGCUCAACGGGCUGAGCCGCCCAGGUGGUGACGAUGUGCAUGAUGGGUACAAUUUUUGUGACACAGCAGUUCCCUCCGAACCCACUAACCAGCCACGGAAUGGAUUUUGGAGUGGCACCUGAUAGGUUUGUUUUGGACCCUGGGAGAGAGGAUUAAACCACCAGACACCUUGUGGAGAAUCUUGCUGGAGAUUCAGACCCGAGCAAGAGAGAAGUCCAGGGGUCCAGAUCACGCCUAUUCUCUGCUGACCAUCAGAUAGUAGUCGGGACCUCGUUAUCCGUCAGGACUGCCAAGUGGAACUUUCCCACGCCCAUCUCGGACUAACAAGAGGAUAUGGACUUGGAGUGAUUUCUAGAUGCAGAAUUCGAUUUUUCCACUCAGUAUAAAAAUCUUCGUAGAAGCCAAAAUCUUUAUGAAAAAAGCAAAUCUCAGCGUGGGGCCCGGUCUCGACCUCUUCCCCGGUAAAUGCAAAGGGCUAUAGAAACGGCGUGUUUUGCACCGUCGGCGGGUGCAGUGCUGGGCCCAAGGACCUCGGAGAGGAAGCGCCAUUGGGAGGCUCUCAUUUCUGCCUGGGGAGCAAGGCGCUCAAACUUCACAUAGCCAGAUUUGUGCAUCAUUACAAUGCCUAGCGUGCAGGAGCCCAAUAACAGUUUGUUGAAUGAAAAGAUCUGUUAAAAGA
Molecule: long non-coding RNA, 888 nt
Organism: Suricata suricatta (meerkat)
Lineage: Eukaryota; Metazoa; Chordata; Mammalia; Carnivora; Herpestidae
Exons: 5
Source: RefSeq, a predicted model, not a curated record